CCUCAUAUUUAUAGCAGCACUAUUCAUAACAGCUAAGAUGCAGCAUUAACCUAAGUGCCUAUCAGAGAAGUGGAUACAGAAACUGUGGUGUAAAAACACAAUGGAAUAUUAUACAGCCAUGGAAAGGAUGGGAUGUCAUUCCCAGCAACAUGGAUAAGCAUGGAGGAAACUCUGCUAGCACCCUGACGUGGCCCCGACUGAGACCGUCCUAGGAGCAACUGCGGCUCUCCGGAGGCAGGGAACGCUUCUCAAAACAAUGUCCUGCAUUUUUACCUGUAAGCCGUGUCUACCUGAUUAUUAGUGAAAAACCCAGCUUAUGGACAACCUUAACAAGAUGGCCACGACCAACAGCAAAAAUGCUAAUCCAUUUCUUGAACUAAGGACACCCGGAUCCUCACCGUUUUUACAAACGUAGCCAGCACUCCAUACCCUGGAGUUUUGCACCCCCAGAUUCAACACCAAGAAUACCACAGUUCUGAGAUGGUCUCUGAGAUUCAGUGCAUACUGCACACUUACGGGACGUGUCGUGUCAGAACUGCUUCAUUUCCAAUGCUCACAUACCACCUAUGGCUCAACGCUGGUAGAAAAUCCUAAGCUGGUCAUUUAAUUCUCUGAGGACAAGAUGUCUAAAACAACGCUGAUAUUACUGGCUUCCUUGUAGAGUUGUAUGAAUUAGGAGUUUUGGAAAAGAGCAUAUAAACACAUAAUAAAUUAUCAAUUAGAUUAUACUCCUUUUCAGCUUUUAUACCACUAAGUUACUUAAAACGAGAGUUAGUAAAAUUUGGGGAGGGUGUUCACCAGUUAAUUUUACUAUUGUGCAUUAUAAUAUGUGAUGAUCACAUAGAUAAUCUUUUAUAUUUAUCCAAUACAGACAGUUCUUGCUCUGUAAAGGUACCAUGAAAACUGAAACUUGUUCAUGUCAAGCCUGUCUCUGCUUUGCGAAUUCAUACAUAUGCACAUUUCCUACUUGCACCAUAGAAAUCUAUCUCCAUAGCAAUGACCAUGACCAGAGUCUAGAUCUUGUUUUCAACACUGUCUUAGUCCAUUUGGGCUGAGAUAACAAAAUACCUUAGACUGAGCAAUUUAUAAACAGUGAAAAUAUGUAUCUCACAGUUCUGGAUGCUGGAAGUCCAAUCCAACACUGUCUUAGUCCAUUUGGGCUGAGAUAACAAAAUACCUUAAACUGAGCAAUUUAUAAACAGUGAAAGUGUGUAUCUCACAGUUCUGGAUGCUGGAUGUCCAAUCCAACACUGUCUUAGUCCAUUUGGGCUGAGAUAACAAAAUACCUUAGACUGAGCGAUUUAUAAACAGUGAAAGUGUGUAUCUCACAGUUCUGGAUGCUGGAAAGUCCAACACCAUGAUGUCAUAGAGUGUCUGGCGAGACCCCUCUGCUUCAUAGACCUUGCUUUCUAGCUGCAUCUCCACAUGGCAGGAAGGACAAGUAAGCCCCCUAAUGCUUUUUUUUAUAAGGGCACUAAUCCCAUUCAUCAGAGCUCCACCCUCAUGACCUAAUUACCCUCUGAAGGCCUUACCUCCUAAUGCUAUAUAUUUCAUUGGAGACAGAUUUUAACAUGUGAAUGGGGGGCAUUAACAUUCAGACUCUCCAAUACCAUUCUUCAGUAAAAGGAACCAAGACUUCUUUGAGAAAUAAAUGAUUCCAGGGCUGGAACAGAGAAAAUGUAAUUCUCCUGAGGAAACUUGCAGUGCCAGAAUGUAAGGAAGUGUACAAAAUUUAAAAGGAAUGGGAGUGUGUCCAAGGGGCACAGGAGUCAACCUGAAAUGCCACAAAUAGCUGGAGUUGGAGCAAUCUGAAUAACAAAAGUAAAAAAAAAAAUCUUAAUCAUAAUCCAAAGUACAAAAUAUAUAUCUGUGAGUCUAUACCAAUAUUAAUAAAUAAGCCAACAAGUGGAAAAAUGGGGAAGAAGAGACAAAUCUCCAGCAGAAGAAUUCUAUGUGAGUCAUGUACAUCCUCUUCCAGGAAGUGGGCCUUAACUCCUUUUUCUCCCAACCUUGAGUGUGGACAGUAUGGAAGCAAGGAGGAGGUGACUUACAGGGGAGAAGUCUGACCAACACCGCCUGACCCAGGUGGUCAGGUUAACAUGACAGAGAUGAGUCAUGCUAACAACACGUACCCUUGAAGUGAGGUACCGAGAGGGUACCUUCAUCUCUGUGGUCUUCCCACCAAAACCCACAAUCCCAGUCUCAUCACGGUAGAAACAUAAGACAAAGCACCAUGGAAAGAUCUUCUGCAAGACACAUGACCAGUGUUCCUCCAAAGUGUCACGCUCACUAAGACAAAGACAGUCUGAGAAACUCUGAAGAGAUGUGAGACCGAAAUGUAAUGGGGAUUCUGGUUGGGACCCUGGAAGAGAGAGGGGCGGCUGGGGGAAGCUGACUGUGCUGGUUAAUUUUAGUUCAGUGGACUUGGAGUAAAGCAGAUUACCCUCAGCAUGGGCCUCAUCCAGUCAGCUGAAGGCCUUAAUAGAACUAAGACGGACUUCUCCUCAGCAAAAAAAGGAAUUCUUCCAGCAGGCCGCCUUUGGACUGGACUGCACUCCCCGGGUAACCAGCCUUCAGGCUGCAGAUUUUGGAUUGACCAAGCCUCCACAAUCACGUGAGCUUUUUCUUUAAAAAUAAAUCUCUUUCUUCCUUUCUCUCUGUCUCUGUGCACGCACACACACAGGCACACACACACGUGCACACACGCAGGCAUGUACACACAUAAAUUCUGUUGGUUCUGCUUUUCUGGAGCCCCCUAAUACACUGGUGAAGUCACUGGAAAUGUGGAGAAUUUAUGACAGUAAGAUAGCGACGUUGGUGCAUUCAUUGUGACAAAUAUACCAUAGUAAUGUAAGAUGUUAAUGAUCGGGAACAACGUAUUUGUAAAUCUAUAGCUGUUUUAAAAUAAAAUCUACUUCA
This is a long non-coding RNA of Tupaia belangeri chinensis (Chinese tree shrew), 2919 nucleotides long. RefSeq lists it as uncharacterized. NCBI's taxonomy places the organism in Eukaryota, Metazoa, Chordata, Mammalia, Scandentia, Tupaiidae. The record is from RefSeq and is a predicted model, not a curated record. The transcript is spliced from 5 exons.